ACCGCAGACUAUUCCGCCGUUGUUCAGCAAUGAACAGAGGAAAGUCCGGGCAACACAGAGCAGCUUGCUUCCUAACGGGAAGAGGUUUUCCGAGUAAUCGGGGAAUUAUGGAAAGUGCCACAGAAAAGUAAACUACCCGAAGGAGUUCGUCUUCAUUGGGAAAAGGUGAAAAAGUGCGGUAAGAGCGCACUCAGCAAUUGGCGACAGUUGUUGUGGUAAACCCCAGGCGUUGAAAAACCAAAUAGGUUACGAUCGUACAACUGCUCGUUGUCUUUCACUUCGGUGAUUAUCGUAAUGGGUAGGUUGCUUGAUCCUAAUAGCAAUGUUAGGACUAGAUAAAUGGCGGAAGCCGUUAGCGAUUCGUUCGCAAAGCGGAAACAGAACCCGGCUUAUCGGUCUGUAUUUUUU
This 408-nucleotide RNase P RNA is filed under the name Bacteroidota bacterium. RNAcentral describes it as "Bacteroidetes bacterium RNase P RNA component class A". It matches the Rfam family "Bacterial RNase P class A". Rfam says of the family: Ribonuclease P (RNase P) is a ubiquitous endoribonuclease, found in archaea, bacteria and eukarya as well as chloroplasts and mitochondria. Lineage: Bacteria; Pseudomonadati; Bacteroidota. RNAcentral also lists the same sequence under 1 other name. The record is from RNAcentral.